UACGGAGGAUGCGAGCGUUAUCCGGAUUUAUUGGGUUUAAAGGGUGCGCAGGCGGUCUGUUAAGUCAGCGGUCAAAGCCCGGGGCUCAACCCCGGCCCGCCGUUGAAACUGACGGUCUUGAGUGGGCGAGAAGUAUGCGGAAUGCGCAGUGUAGCGGUGAAAUGCUUAGAUAUUGCGCAGAACUCCGAUUGCGAAGGCAGCAUACCGGCGGCGAUCUGACGCUGAGGCACGAAAGCGUGGGUAUCGAACAGG
This 252-nucleotide ribosomal RNA is filed under the name uncultured Bacteroidales bacterium. Its description in RNAcentral is "partial 16S ribosomal RNA". It matches the Rfam family "Bacterial small subunit ribosomal RNA", at positions 524 to 776 of the family's 1533-position model. Lineage: Bacteria; Pseudomonadati; Bacteroidota; Bacteroidia; Bacteroidales. The record is from RNAcentral.